CAUUCGAUAGCUCAGUUGGUAGAGCGGGGGACUGUAGAUUUAUAAUUGUGAUCCCUAGAUGCUGUUCGAAUACGGCUCGAAGGA
RNAcentral lists this transfer RNA (84 nucleotides) under Nematostella vectensis (starlet sea anemone). It matches the Rfam family "tRNA". From Rfam's summary of the family: Transfer RNA (tRNA) molecules are approximately 80 nucleotides in length. Their secondary structure includes four short double-helical elements and three loops (D, anti-codon, and T loops). Further hydrogen bonds mediate the characteristic L-shaped molecular structure. tRNAs have two regions of fundamental functional importance: the anti-codon, which is responsible for specific mRNA codon recognition, and the 3' end, to which the tRNAs corresponding amino acid is attached (by aminoacyl-tRNA synthetases). tRNAs cope with the degeneracy of the genetic code in two manners: having more than one tRNA (with a specific anti-codon) for a particular amino acid; and 'wobble' base-pairing, i.e. permitting non-standard base-pairing at the 3rd anti-codon position. The record is from Rfam by way of RNAcentral. Lineage: Eukaryota; Metazoa; Cnidaria; Anthozoa; Actiniaria; Edwardsiidae.